UUUUGCUGCCGAAAAACUUUAAUUUCUUUGCAUUAUCUUUGUGUGUGUAUAUGCGGCAGUGGUUUCAGAGGCUAUAUAUAUACACUACUUGUUUCAUUGUAAGGUAGAUUGGCUGUGGUUCCACACUUUGAUGUGCUGUCAUAUGCUAACCGCUGAUUAAUAAGUAGCUGAUCAUGACUGCUCACAAGUUUCUUCCAGUACAUGCUCAGAUCAAGAUCAAAUCUCAAGUAGCGGAUUUCCUUGAUUAGGUUUUGUUCCUCCUUCGACAAUGUUUUCUCCUUCAUUUUGCUCACUAUAUAUUUAAUUCUCUCAGAAACAUCCAUGCCAAAAUUGACUGAAACUAUUUUAGUUUUCUCUAUUCCAUGAUUGACUUGAUUUCAUGCUUCACCGUUGAUGCUCUUGGUGAUUUAAAUACAACCCAAGCUAACAAACACUGUUCGCAUCGAUGGUAAUAGACUUGUAUAUAAUAUAGCUUGUCCUUAAUUUAAAACAUGCAUGCAUGUAUCAACACGCCUACAUAUAGGCCUUAUUUUUAAUUAUUAUGAAUUUGUCAGUAGUGAUUAAACACAGUUUUAAUUUAUGGACAUAAGUGAGUUAAUACAUAAAAGAGCUUCAUUAUAACUAAUACGGUAAGAAUUUCUAGGUCGGAUCAUUUUAAAUUGAAAUAAUUUAAGUUACAGAAAAUCUUCCAAAUGUAUUUUCACUUUUAGAGAUUUGUGUUUAAGCGAAAGAAAUCUAAUUAUACAAAUUAAAUAUUAAAUACAAGUUUAAAGUCCUACUCAUGGGAGAAGGCAAACAAGUAAGCCUCUUGUCAUAAAAGCUGUAGUUGUUCUUAAUCGUGCCGCUGAAUUUCUGCAGUUGAUGAUGAUGUUACAGGCUAUAUAUAUAUAUAUAUGUGGAGUUAUACUUGAAUACAUGCACAUCAUAUUCUAUUUUAAGUUUAAUCGUUUUUUCAUUGGGAUCAGUUGUACAGUUGAGUCGUUGUAUAAUUUAACUUAAAAGUAAAAUUACAGUUUAUGUUUAAUUAAUAGCUGAUGCCUGAUGCAAAGAAUUACUACUACUAGGCUACUGGCUUGUUUGUUACGUACUUCAUUUAAGCGCGAGUAUAUAUUUUGUUUCCAAUUCGUGGACACUCCCUUUUGCAUGCAGAGGACAAAAGCAUAUAUAAUUGGAUGCCUACUACUUAUCAUUUUUUUAUCAGACCAAACAUGUGAUAAUCAAAACGUACGCUGAAACUCAGCACCACACGCUUUACUUGCCAAUCAUGUGAUAACUUCAUAUAUGCAUGCUAUUGCGUUUUCGUGAGUAUAUAUUAGUAUCUAGCUAAUUAAGGCUCUAAGCCAAUAUACUUUAAAAAAUAUGAAGCUGUGAUAUAUUUUGAGUGUUUUGGUUUUAUGGUAGGAAUUAUGAGAAUGGAUUAUUAAUAUUACUGCAGACUAACUUGAUUUUAUAAUCGAAUUCAACCUGUUUUUACGAGUUAAAAAAGAUAUCUUCAAAAUAUACAUUAAAUAUUAUUUGUAAAAUUAAAAAUUGUUUAAAAUAACUUCAACUUAGGCUAGGUUUAUCCAUGGCACAUGAUGGGUCAUGAAUAUAUCCAUAUUGAAAAUCACUAAUUGUUGUUUCAAGAUGUUGAAUGAAAUUGUGAUGUUAUUAUAAGACAGCAUCAUAAGUAUUAUUUAUUAUUUAUUCAAAAUAGAAUUUUUUAGUAAUUGCAUACUGCUAAUGUUAGAGGAUGAGAUAAAAAGUUAACUGUAAUUAGAGCCAUUAUCAACCUAAAUUAAUAUUGUACUAUAGUAUAAGUUUUGUUUAAUAUUAUCGUUUCCCGUCAUUUUGGUUGGGCUAGUUAUAACUUACAAUCUCCCAUGAUAUAAUAAGUAGAAUAUUCGUUGCUCGUUUUUCCUGUGUGUGUGUGUGGUGGUUCACUUGGCCACUUGGAGUUUUUUCGGUUUCAUGAUUCAUCAAAGAUAAUCGUAUAAUAAUUACCAAAACUAAGAUAAUUGUAUAAAAAAUUCUGAGAGACCAAGCAUGGGAGUGAACAUCCUUUUCAUUAAAAGCACUAUAUGCAUGCAGCAUCUUGACUGACGAUAAAGUCAAUGAUACGAUUUAAAAUUUUCACUGUGUGUUUUGUCCCUGUCCUUCUCACGUUUCUCCAUUAAAAAUGAGACAACUGAUCUGCUCCAUACUUUAAUUUUCUAGGUGUAAAAAUUAGACUAUACACCCACAAGAUCGAUUUCAAUCCACGUUGUGUAUUUUUGUUUGAUUCCAUUCCUUUCUAUUAUUAAUUAUUUUUAGGGUUUUGUUAGUAGUAUUUUAAAGAUAAAACAAAUAAUACAUGUAUUAAUACGGUAAGGAAUGUUUAUAUUCCCAUUCACUCAUAAAUUAUUAUAUAAGUAUAAUAAUUUUAAUUUAUUUUAUCAUAAUAAUUACAAUAAAAAUCAUAUCAAUAGUUCUUAUUGGUCGGUAAUAUAAAAACAUUUACUUUAACAAUGUAUCUCUAUUAAACUUUUAAAGAUAUUAGUAAAAAUUAUUAAAUAAAAAGUUUUUGUUAAAACUUUCAAUAGUAUUAAAAAUCAAGUGUAUUUAUAACAUUAUUUUUAUUUUUAAGUCUUUAACUUGUAUCUUAUAGAUAUUGUUAACAUUCUCCUUAUUUCUAUUAUUAUACUGAAUGAGACCCAUUAUUAAUUUGGAGAAGUUGAAACAACCAUCGGCCACCUACCGUAGCCCUCAAAGCAAGUAAAUAAACCACGUAUGCCACCCAUAAUUAUGUGGCUAUUUCUGAUGGGGAAAUAGUAGUUGAGAACCUCCAACAUACUCAGGCCUAAGCAAGAAACAAUGACGAAAAUAGAAAGAGAAGCAGCAAACAGAAAGUUGAGUUUUUAUUAUUCAAGCAAACUCGUACAAUAACGAUAGAGAUGCUACGUUUUAGUAAAAAAAAAUAUUAAAAAAUUACUCAAAAAUUUAUAGGAUGCUGUAACAUUAAGUCUAGAGUAAACUUUAGUCGUCUUUGAAUUUGACGACCACGAAUGAAUUUGAUGAAAACUGCACGAAA
Molecule: long non-coding RNA, 3049 nt
Organism: Glycine soja
Lineage: Eukaryota; Viridiplantae; Streptophyta; Magnoliopsida; Fabales; Fabaceae
Exons: 2
Source: RefSeq, a predicted model, not a curated record